GGUUCUUCCCCUUUGGGGUCGGUAUACAGGUGGUGCAUGGUUGUCGUCAGCUCGUGUCGUGAGAUGUUGGGUUAAGUCCCGCAACGAGCGCAACCCUCGUUCCAUGUUGCCAGCACGUGAUGGUGGGGACUCAUGGGAGACUGCCGGGGUCAACUCGGAGGAAGGUGGGGAUGACGUCAAAUCAUCAUGCCCCUUAUGUCUUGGGCUUCACGCAUGCUACAAUGGCCGGUACAAAGGGUUGCGAUACUGUGAGGUGGAGCUAAUCCCAAAAAGCCGGUCUCAGUUCGGAUUGAGGUCUGCAACUCGACCUCAUGAAGUCGGAGUCGCUAGUAAUCGCAGAUCAGCAACGCUGCGGUGAAUACGUUCCCGGGCCUUGUACACACCGCCCGUCAAGUCACGAAAGUCGGUAACACCCGAAGCCGGUGGCCCAACCCUUGUGGAGGGAGCCGUCGAAGGUGGGACUGGCGAUUG
Molecule: ribosomal RNA, 471 nt
Filed under: Kocuria palustris
Lineage: Bacteria; Bacillati; Actinomycetota; Actinomycetes; Micrococcales; Micrococcaceae
Description: bacterial SSU rRNA
Rfam family: Bacterial small subunit ribosomal RNA
Source: RNAcentral